Molecule: long non-coding RNA, 497 nt
Filed under: Lathyrus oleraceus (garden pea)
Lineage: Eukaryota; Viridiplantae; Streptophyta; Magnoliopsida; Fabales; Fabaceae
Description: Pisum sativum (pea) long non-coding RNA (PSAT_LNC003968)
Source: RNAcentral
AUUUGAAAACAAAGCAAAAAUAAAAAUAAAAUUGGUCCAAGACCACCAAAAAUUCAAGAAAACUCAGGGGAAUAUGAAAAUAUUUUUUGGGAUUUUUAGGGUUCAUAAAUGGGGCAGAAAUAAUUAAAUUCACAAGCUAUCUAAAAGAAAUAACAAAAUAAACAUAUUUUAGAAAUUAAAAUACAAAAAAUAGCAAACUAAAUGGAAAAAUAAAAUAAAAAUCAGAAAUAUAUAAUAGAAACAAAUAUCUUUUAGCACAUAUUUUUUUUUGGUAUUUUUUUAUAAUUAAAAAUAUUUUUAAUAAAAUAAACAAAUAAAAGAAAGUAAAAGAAAAUGAAAUAACUAAAAAACAAAGUUUGGUCAAAUGAUUUCGGAAUGAUAAUCUGAUCCAGCUACAUGGACCAAUAAGAACAUUUCCCAAUUAUUGGAUGCAAGAAGGUAAAAAUAAGGCGAGCGAAUCACAAUGCACCAUGUGGCCAUACAAAAAAAAAAUUCAA